This 264-nucleotide long non-coding RNA is filed under the name Cricetulus griseus (Chinese hamster). Its description in RNAcentral is "lncRNA (ENSCGRG00000024142.1)". Lineage: Eukaryota; Metazoa; Chordata; Mammalia; Rodentia; Cricetidae. The record is from RNAcentral.
ACCUAAUGGGUUUCUUGUUUGUGUUUACAAUGCAGCUGUCUGUUUCAGGAAGUGAGGGUUCUGGAACAGGAAGGACCUUCAGGAGCUGCUUCACACUGUGACAUGUCUGAUCCCUUGUGCCCAUUACUGCAGCAUGAACAAGGCGGACACUCACUGAUCUAUCACAAGGUUGCCUCACUGAGCUUUGGGGUCCAUGUCUGAAUGGAUUGCUGUAGCCUUCUCAUCUCUUCCUCCGCCCAGUUCCCAGCAUCCUGAGACUUGGAG